GAUGAACGCUGGCGGCGUGCUUAACACAUGCAAGUCGAACGGACAGGCUCCUGCUUUCCUGGUUACUCGAUUGGCGAACGCGUGAGUAACACGUGUGUGAUCUGCCCUUCACUUCGGGAUAAGCCUUGGAAACUGGGUCUCAUACCGGAUAGGACGAUGUUAUGCAUGCCAUUCUGGAAAGUUUUUCGGUUUUGGAUUGGCUCGCGGCCUAUCCGCUUGUUGGUGGGGUAAUUGCCUACCAAGGCGUAGACGGGUAGCCGGCCUGAGAGGGUGUACGGCCACAAUGGGACUGAGAGACGGCCCAGACGCGUACGGGAGGCAGCAGGGGGGAAUAUUGCACAAUGGGGGCAAGCCUGAGGCAGAGACGCCGGGUGGGGGAUGACGGCCUUCGGGGUGUAAACACAUUUCGCUAGGGACGAAGCGGAAGUGACGGUACCUGGAGAAGAAGCACCGGCUAACUACGUG
This 465-nucleotide ribosomal RNA is filed under the name uncultured bacterium. RNAcentral's name for it is "partial 16S ribosomal RNA". It matches the Rfam family "Bacterial small subunit ribosomal RNA", at positions 28 to 507 of the family's 1533-position model. The record is from RNAcentral.